This 329-nucleotide unclassified non-coding RNA is filed under the name soil metagenome. RNAcentral describes it as "partial contains 5.8S ribosomal RNA, internal transcribed spacer 2, and large subunit ribosomal RNA". The stretch from base 1 to 120 matches the Rfam family "5.8S ribosomal RNA", at positions 35 to 154 of the family's 154-position model. The record is from RNAcentral.
GAUGAAGAACGUAGCGAAAUGCGAUAAGUAAUGUGAAUUGCAGAAUUCAGUGAAUCAUCGAAUCUUUGAACGCACAUUGCGCCCCCUGGUAUUCCGGGGGGCAUGCCUGUCCGAGCGUCAUUACAACCCUCAAGCUCAGCUUGGUGUUGGGCCCCGCCGCCCCGGCGGGCCCUAAAGUCAGUGGCGGUGCCGUCCGGCUCCGAGCGUAGUAAUUCUUCUCGCUCUGGAGGUCCGGUCGUGUGCUCGCCAGCAACCCCCAAUUUUUUUCAGGUUGACCUCGGAUCAGGUAGGUAUACCCGCUGAACUUAAGCAUAUCAAUAAGCGGAGGA